This 204-nucleotide ribosomal RNA is filed under the name uncultured bacterium. RNAcentral's name for it is "partial 16S ribosomal RNA". It matches the Rfam family "Bacterial small subunit ribosomal RNA", at positions 568 to 774 of the family's 1533-position model. The record is from RNAcentral.
CGCGUAGGCGGUAAGAUGUGUGUGAUGUGAAAGCCCUGGGCUUAACCUAGGAAGAGCAUCGCAAACUAUCUAACUGGAGUAUAUGAGAGGGUGGCGGAAUUUCCGGUGUAGCGGUGAAAUGCGUAGAGAUCGGAAGGAACGUCAAUGGCGAAGGCAGCCACCUGGCAUAAUACUGACGCUGAGCGCAAAGCGUGGGAGCGAACA